UCCGUCGCAGGCGUAGGAAAUUUGAGAAGACCUGUCCUUAGUACGAGAGGACCGGGAUGGACGUACCUCUGGUGUACCAGUUGUCCUGCCAAGGGCAUGGCUGGGUAGCUAUGUACGGAAUGGAUACGCGCGGAAAGCAUCGAAGCGCGAAGCCAACUUCAAGAUAAGAUUUCCCACCGCAAGGGUAAGACCCCAGAAAGACUAUCUGGUUGAUAGGUCGAAGGAGUAAGUGCAGCAAUGUAUUUAGCUUAUCGAUACUAAUAGGUCGAGGACUUGACCAAU
This 282-nucleotide ribosomal RNA is filed under the name Clostridioides difficile. RNAcentral's name for it is "partial 23S ribosomal RNA". It matches the Rfam family "Bacterial large subunit ribosomal RNA", at positions 2641 to 2925 of the family's 2925-position model. The record is from RNAcentral. Lineage: Bacteria; Bacillati; Bacillota; Clostridia; Peptostreptococcales; Peptostreptococcaceae.